This 337-nucleotide unclassified non-coding RNA is filed under the name soil metagenome. RNAcentral's name for it is "partial contains 5.8S ribosomal RNA, internal transcribed spacer 2, and large subunit ribosomal RNA". The stretch from base 1 to 120 matches the Rfam family "5.8S ribosomal RNA", at positions 35 to 154 of the family's 154-position model. The record is from RNAcentral.
GAUGAAGAACGUAGCGAAAUGCGAUAAGUAGUGUGAAUUGCAGAAUUCAGUGAAUCAUCGAAUCUUUGAACGCACAUUGCGCCCGCCAGUAUUCUGGCGGGCAUGCCUGUUCGAGCGGCAUUUUCACCAUCAAGCUCUGCUUGUGUUGGGGUCCUGCGGCUGCCCGCAGGCCCUGAAACCCAGUGGCGGGCUCGCUAGUCACACCGAGCGCAGUAGCACAUCUCGCUCAGGGCGUGCGGCGGGUUCUUGCCGUAAAACAACCCCCCCUUUUCACCAAGGUUGACCUCGGAUCAGGUAGGAAUACCCGCUGAACUUAAGCAUAUCAAUAAGCGGAGGA